GUCCCGUUCCAGCGAUGAUUGCCUGAGCUCGUCUCAUGGAGAAGAAGUCCUGCAGUGUAUUCCUGCAGCCCGGUGCUCCGGUCAUGUCCUUCGUCCCGCCGGAGUGUUCCCAGCCCGUGUGCGAUUGGCUGAGUGGCCUCCGGCUCGACCAGUACUGCCCGGCCUUCCGGGAGGCGGGGCUGGGAAUGCUGUGGGAGUGUCAUGAUCUAAGCUCCGCCCAGCUGCAGCAGAUGGGCGUGGCUCUGCCCGGCCAUAGGAAGCGGAUCCUUGGCAGCCUGCGCAAGCUCCUCCCCUCGGCGGCGGGAACGGAGGAGGACGAGGAGCGAGAGGAGGACAGGCCCGUUGCCCGAGAGAGGACCAAAUUCAGAGCAUCGGAAAACAGUGUCGCAGGUAGACGCCCGCCUCCCGUCCCGCCUCGAGUCACGCCCAAUCGACCCCCCGUUCCCUUCACGCCCGGAUCGGUAACCAUGGCGACCGCUCCUGAGCCUAUCAGCCUCCCUGAACAAAAGGAAACGCCCACGCCUGCCGAACAAGCCAAGCCCAUCCCAACUCCCAGGCCACGCCCAGAACACCUGCCUCUUAAAGGGCCGGCGCAGCAACUCCAGACGAGUGAGAGGAAACCGUCUCCUGUGUCUCCCUCUUCCUCCUCCUCCUCCUCCUCCUCAUCAUCGGAGCGCUUCCACCUGUAUGAACAGUGUUCGUCUCCUGCUCAGGGAGAAGCGGGCGCUCCUCCUCUUCCUCCUAAGAGCUACGCCGUGGGCAUCUCUAAAGAGCCCAGAGACGGCCCGUACAGACCCCCUGUUCCACCACCUCGUGUCUCCAUCUGCUCCAGAACUACGAAUCCCAGAAGCACGUCAUCCGGAAGCCCGCCCACGUCUAGCGCUCCUGUAGAUGAUCCGUCAGACACGGAUCGAGUCCCAGACGUCCCGCCUCGGAUCAUCAGACCAGAGAGCCAAAGGAGAGACGUCCCAGCGCCGCCGAACACAAACAAGUUGGAUUCAGAUGAAAGUUCAGAUGAAUAUGACGAGCGCAAGCUCAGCAGAGACGCUAAACUCAUAGACAUGGCCAGCAAGAUGUCCUUGAUGGUUCCCAAGGCGACGAAACCCCGUUACAGCAGCCUGUGCAGCGACGACGAGCUACUAGACGAUGACGCCAUCUCUUACGAAUCUGUGUCCCUGAAACGGAGUUCAUGGAUCGAAGAUUUGGGUUCGAUCUCCGGCUCUCAGAGCAGCAUCUACCUGCCAAUCACAGGCCACGUCAGUGCUCCGCCCCCUCGGGAAGACCCCGCCUCCACCAGCGUCCCCGUGAUUAAAGUGGGCUGGCUGGACAAGAAUCCUCCUCAGGGGUGCGUGUGUGUUUU
This 1360-nucleotide long non-coding RNA is filed under the name Sinocyclocheilus grahami. Its description in RNAcentral is "lncRNA (ENSSGRG00000018610.1)". The record is from RNAcentral. Lineage: Eukaryota; Metazoa; Chordata; Actinopteri; Cypriniformes; Cyprinidae.